RNAcentral lists this ribosomal RNA (398 nucleotides) under uncultured bacterium. Its description in RNAcentral is "bacterial SSU rRNA". It matches the Rfam family "Bacterial small subunit ribosomal RNA", at positions 32 to 412 of the family's 1533-position model. The record is from RNAcentral.
AAUCAACGCUGGCGGCGUGCCUAACACAUGCAAGUCGAACGAGAAGGUGACUUCGGUCACUGGAUAGUGGCGUCCGGGUGAGUAACACGUAGGUAAUCUACCUUCGGGUGGGGAAUAACGUCUCGAAAGAGACGCUAAUACCGCAUAAUGCAGCAGCACCUAAUGGUGAUUAGUUGUUAAAGCGGGGGAUCUUCGGACCUCGCGCCUGAAGAGGAGCCUGCGGCAGAUAGCUAGUUGGUGAGGUAAUGGCUCACCAAGGCUUCGAUCUGUAGCUGGUCUGAGAGGACGGCCAGCCACACUGGCACUGACACACGGGCCAGACUCCUACGGGAGGCAGCAGUGGGGAAUAUUGCGCAAUGGGCGAAAGCCUGACGCAGCGACGCCGCGUGAGGGAUGAC